ACAAGCGGUGGAGCAUNUNGUUUNAUUNGAAGCAACNCGNAGNACCUUACCAAAUCNUGACNUCCUUUGACCCUUCUAGAGAUAGAAGUUUUUCCUUCGGGGGACAAAGUGACAGGUGGUGCAUGGUUGUCGUCAGCUCGUGUCGUGAGAUGUUGGGUUAAGUCCCGCAACGAGCGCAACCCUUAAGCUUAGUUGCCAUCAUUAAGUUGGGCACUCUAAGUUGACUGCCGGUGACAAACCGGAGGAAGGUGGGGAUGACGUCAAAUCAUCAUGCCCCUUAUGAUUUGGGCUACACACGUGCUACAAUGGACAAUACAAAGGGCAGCGAAACCGCGAGGUCAAGCAAAUCCCAUAAAGUUGUUCUCAGUUCGGAUUGUAGUCUGCAACUCGACUACAUGAAGCUGGAAUCGCUAGUAAUCGUAGAUCAGCAUGCUACGGUGAAUACGUUCCCGGGUCUUGUACACACCGCCCGUCACACCACGAGAGUUUGUAACACCCGAAGCCGNUGGAGUAACCAUUUGGAGCUAGCCUCG
This 533-nucleotide ribosomal RNA is filed under the name Staphylococcus sp. sh_52. Its description in RNAcentral is "bacterial SSU rRNA". It matches the Rfam family "Bacterial small subunit ribosomal RNA", at positions 925 to 1458 of the family's 1533-position model. The record is from RNAcentral. Lineage: Bacteria; Bacillati; Bacillota; Bacilli; Caryophanales; Staphylococcaceae.